Molecule: long non-coding RNA, 291 nt
Filed under: Prunus persica (peach)
Lineage: Eukaryota; Viridiplantae; Streptophyta; Magnoliopsida; Rosales; Rosaceae
Description: long non-coding RNA (PPER_LNC005269)
Source: RNAcentral
GGCUUUUGAGUGAAAUCCAAUCUCUACAACUAUGCAAUACACCAAUCACUCCAUUUCAUAACGAACUUCGUACGAACCUGAAUUGUCCAAUUUCAUGGACCAAUCGAGAUUGGAUUGAGUCCAAAGCUUGGGGAACAUCAUAAUACGGUGGGAGGAGUCAUUUAGUGGCUUUUGAGUGAAAUCCAAUCUCUACAACUAUGCAAUACACCAAUCACUCCAUUUCAUAACGAACUUCGUACGAACCUGAAUUGUCCAAUUUCAUGGACCAAUCGAGAUCGGAUUGAGUCCAAA